RNAcentral lists this ribosomal RNA (434 nucleotides) under uncultured bacterium. Its description in RNAcentral is "partial 16S ribosomal RNA". It matches the Rfam family "Bacterial small subunit ribosomal RNA", at positions 29 to 507 of the family's 1533-position model. The record is from RNAcentral.
AGCGAACGCUGGCGGCAGGCCUAACACAUGCAAGUCGAACGAACCUUUCGGGGUUAGUGGCGGACGGGUGAGUAACACGUGGGAACGUGCCUUUAGGUUCGGAAUAACUCAGGGAAACUUGUGCUAAUACCGAAUGUGCCCUUCGGGGGAAAGAUUUAUCGCCUUUAGAGCGGCCCGCGUCUGAUUAGCUAGUUGGUUGAGGUAAUGGCUCACCAAGGCGACGAUCAGUAGCUGGUCUGAGAGGAUGAUCAGCCACAUUGGGACUGAGACACGGCCCAAACUCCUACGGGAGGCAGCAGUGGGGAAUCUUGCGCAAUGGGCGAAAGCCUGACGCAGCCAUGCCGCGUGAAUGAUGAAGGUAUUAGGAUUGUAAAAUUCUUUCACCGGGGACGAUAAUGACGGUACCCGGAGAAGAAGCCCCGGCUAACUUCGUG